GUGACCCUUGAGCUUCUCGCGGAUCAUCUGCAUCAGCGCGACCUCGUAGCGGUCCUCGUACUGCUUCGGAUCGAAGGUGGUCGUCUUCU
This 89-nucleotide small RNA is filed under the name Sinorhizobium meliloti 2011. Its description in RNAcentral is "putative ncRNA". The record is from RNAcentral. Lineage: Bacteria; Pseudomonadati; Pseudomonadota; Alphaproteobacteria; Hyphomicrobiales; Rhizobiaceae.